Molecule: ribosomal RNA, 600 nt
Filed under: Priestia megaterium
Lineage: Bacteria; Bacillati; Bacillota; Bacilli; Caryophanales; Bacillaceae
Description: bacterial SSU rRNA
Rfam family: Bacterial small subunit ribosomal RNA
Source: RNAcentral
AACGCAUUAAGCACUCCGCCUGGGGAGUACGGUCGCAAGACUGAAACUCAAAGGAAUUGACGGGGGCCCGCACAAGCGGUGGAGCAUGUGGUUUAAUUUGAAGCAACGCGAAGAACCUUACCAGGUCUUGACAUCCUCUGACAACUCUAGAGAUAGAGCGUUCCCCUUCGGGGGACAGAGUGACAGGUGGUGCAUGGUUGUCGUCAGCUCGUGUCGUGAGAUGUUGGGUUAAGUCCCGCAACGAGCGCAACCCUUGAUUUUAGUUGCCAGCAUUUAGUUGGGCACUCUAAGGUGACUGCCGGUGACAAACCGGAGGAAGGUGGGGAUGACGUCAAAUCAUCAUGCCCCUUAUGACCUGGGCUACACACGUGCUACAAUGGAUGGUACAAAGGGCUGCAAGACCGCGAGGUCAAGCCAAUCCCAUAAAACCAUUCUCAGUUCGGAUUGUAGGCUGCAACUCGCCUACAUGAAGCUGGAAUCGCUAGUAAUCGCGGAUCAGCAUGCCGCGGUGAAUACGUUCCCGGGCCUUGUACACACCGCCCGUCACACCACGAGAGUUUGUAACACCCGAAGUCGGUGGAGUAACCGUAAGGAGCUAGC